GACGGGUACAACGACUCUAUCAGCCGGCCUUGCCCGCACAUCUCCUCUAUCGAGAGGUCAAGUGUCCACGAAGCCACCCGUUGUGACCAAAGAAGGAGGUAACGGAGAUGUGGCUUUGGAGAUUCGGAGUCUUUAAUGGAUCUGUGUGAGUUUUAGGAAGCUUUUCCUUUUUUCAGUUAAAGUGUUUUUAUGGUGUGGAAUGUAGAGGUGGUUGAAAGUAGUGUGGACACUUUGGCCAUGAAUUCUUUUUUUUUUUUUUUUCUUUUUUUGGGAGCUGGGGACCGAACCCAGGGCCUUGCGCUUGCUAGGCAAGUGCUCUACCGGUGAGCUAAGUCCCCAACCCCGAAUUCUUUUUAUUUAUGAACCUAGGAUAUUUUUCAUCUAGAUGGUUUUUGUUUUAUGAAUUUCCUUAAUCAAUACUUCAUGACUUUUGGUACAUACAUAUUUUACCUUUUGGAUAAUUUGAAGAACUUCGUUUUUUUUUUCUGUUACUUAUGGAAAUAUGAUUGUUUUCUAGAUUUCCAUUUUGUGUGUAACUUUAUUAGUAUGUGAAUAACGACAGACUUUUAGAUAUUUAAUUUUUAACCGUAAACUUUAAUGAAUAUACUAUUUCUGA
RNAcentral lists this long non-coding RNA (616 nucleotides) under Rattus norvegicus (Norway rat). Its description in RNAcentral is "long non-coding RNA NONRATT018873". Lineage: Eukaryota; Metazoa; Chordata; Mammalia; Rodentia; Muridae. The record is from RNAcentral.